Molecule: ribosomal RNA, 497 nt
Filed under: uncultured bacterium
Lineage: Bacteria
Description: partial 16S ribosomal RNA
Rfam family: Bacterial small subunit ribosomal RNA
Source: RNAcentral
GAUGAACGCUGGCGGCGUGCCUAAUACAUGCAAGUCGAGCGAACAGACGAGGAGCUUGCUCCUCUGCCGUUAGCGGCGGACGGGUGAGUAACACGUGGAUAACCUACCUAUAAGACUGGGAUAACUUCGGGAAACCGGAGAUAAUACCGGAUAAUAUAUCGAACCGCAUGGUUCAAUAGUGAAAGACGGUUUUGCUGUUACUUAUAGAUGGAUCCGCGCCGCAUUAGCUAGUUGGUAAGGUAACGGCUUACCAAGGCAACGAUGCGUAGCCGACCUGAGAGGGUGAUCGGCCACACUGGAACUGAGACACGGUCCAGACUCCUACGGGAGGCAGCAGUAGGGAAUCUUCCGCAAUGGGCGAAAGCUUGACGGAGCAACGCCGCGUGAGUGAUGAAGGUCUUCGGAUCGUAAAACUCUGUUAUUAGGGAGGAACAAAUGUGUAAGUAACUAUGCACGUCUUGACGGUACCUAAUCAGAAAGCCACGGCUAACUACGUG